RNAcentral lists this long non-coding RNA (1047 nucleotides) under Equus caballus (horse). RNAcentral describes it as "lncRNA (ENSECAG00000060157.1)". Lineage: Eukaryota; Metazoa; Chordata; Mammalia; Perissodactyla; Equidae. The record is from RNAcentral.
GCUGAAGGGACCUUCCUGGUUGGUAACAUCCAUGUCUAGGAGGGUGACAUGUCCUACCCCCUGGGACAGGACAUGGUAGCUGCAUGAUUGGGACCCUCCCAGACUGUCCCCAUGUGUCUCUUCUCUUGGCUGGUCCUGAUUUGUAUCCUGUUAUGGCUGUAAUAAAACAAAACAACGAGAUACCAGAAGAAUCCUCAGCGACAGGCCUGGCUGAGCGUCCCCUAGUCUACUAACAACGACCUCCUCCUCCUCAGCCUGCCACACUCCUCCACGACCGGCCACUCUUCCUCAAACCUAGCAUGAAAGACUCAGGUCUGUUUCUUUGGAUCUUCAUUUCCUUAUAAAGGCUCCUGGAUCAUGUAAAACUUCUAUUAAAUAAAUUUGUUUUUGUCCUGUUAAUCUGUCAGUUCAAUUAUUUAGACCCAGCCAGGGACCCUAAGAGGGUCGAGAAGAAUUUUCCGUCCUCUACAUUGGUCACAAAGGCGAGUGGCCUGGGAACCCCUGAGCUUGUGGCUGGUGUCUGCAGAGGAGUCUCUGGAGGACUGGGCACUUGUGAGGUUUGGCUCAACCCCGGGCAGUUAGUGUCAGAAUGUCAGUGCACCGAGGCAGCACUGCUCACCCCAUGGGGGAAAGUCGCCUGCGUCCCGGGCCUGCUUUGCACAGCACAGAUAGGCUGUUUUUCGUAUGUGCUACUAGGCAUGCGGGCUGAAAACAGCCCAGAACGCCAAGGGCAGCAGACUUAGAAAACGUGGGGUGGGUUUUGCUGUAUCCCUCUGUCCUAGUUCCAAGAGCCCUCCUCCGCUCUGAGCCAGGAACCUGGCAAUGGUCUCAACACCUGCUUCUGAGUGUGGUCUCUGGUGGGAACUGUCAUCCUAUUUCUAACCCACUCUGGCCCUCUCCCUUCCAGAUCUAUCCCGUCAUGGUUGAAGUACAGAGAGAGGGAAGCUGGUGCUCAGGAAGAGGGAGUAGGAUUGAAGAGGGAAGUGCCUUUUCAGAGAAGGGUUGGGGGUGGAGUUCAGACUCAAUGACUAACUGGACUGGGGAUGG